CGCUAAUCCGUUCCCCCAAUAUUUCCCUUUCCCACCUAAGUCUCAAACCCUAUCUCCUCGUUUCUACAAGCCGCCGACUUCAGACUUCUCCUCCAUGGCGAUUUCGUGAUUUGCCUGAGACCAAGGAUUACAGACCGGAAUCACCGUAUUGUAUCCUAAUCACCAUUAUCACUGUAUUGAAGCUUCAAAUUAGGGCUUUUGCCUUUUGGUCAAAAUAUUACAAGACGUCAAGACCUGUUAGGGCUUUUGAUUUCAGGCAAGUUAAGGCUUCUAUUGAACCAUUAAUACUAAUUUUCUACUGUCUCUUAACAUUCUAUAAUAAGGUGCACGAAUGAAUUGGUUAGAGACCAGAGCAUCUUAAACAAACAGAAUUUAAAUACCUGCCCCAUUCAACACUGGUUCUUAACGACACACCCAUUCUACUCCAUGUGGUGUGGAUGUUUGUAUGUAACCUGUCCCAUUCGACACUGAUUCUUAACGAUACCACGCCUCUUAGCUCCUACCAUUCGGAUUAUAUGUACAACACAACUGCCAAUCCUAACAGCUUACAAACUCAACUUGCGACGAUUUAAUGCUCAGACGGAAUUGUUUCAUCACGUCCUCCUCCAUUGAACUUGCCAAGAGCCCUAUUGCCCACGCAAAUCUAAUGGCCAUCAUCCCUCUCUACCAAACCUGGCAGUGAGAAAAAUAAGCACGGACACCGAACUCGAUAUCAUGUGGGACAAUUGGAUCAACUUUCUUCUAUAAGGUCUAGUGAUGCUCAAGAGAUUGAUGAAACAUAUCAAGUACUUGAAUCAUUGGAAUGGAGUGCUGCUAUAUCUUGGAUCUGUCGAUUAUGUUAUAGCGGGAGAACAACUCAUAGUGACUUAGUCGAAUUGGGAUCAGCUCUGGAAUUUGGUCUUGUAGGAGCGAUCAAAAACACAUCGUUAACAGGUUUGAUUUUCUUCCAUUUUCUAAUGCUACUUUUGAUGCUGCCUUUUAACCUUCUUUUCUGCCCUUGUGCCUAUUGUUGUUGAUUCUGGGAGCUCUUUGUAGUGCCUCUUAAGUUUAGGCUCCUAACUUACCUCAUCCUUCUUUUCUACCCUUGGCUCCUAUUGUUGUUUAUUACCUCUUCUCCAAGAAAGGAUGAGGCUCAAACUCACAACUCACCGAGAAACACACAUUAUAAUAGAUCUCUCUCAAACCAAGAAGCCCAAAAGGUCUAUAUACGAGCCUGCCUACUGAUGGCUUUGGAAAGAUACCAUCAAAGGAUUUAAGAUAGUUACCAUUGAUAAUAGAAGUAAUAGCAAAUAUGAACUGAGUGCUUCAGACUUCUCAUGUACCUGCACCUACACCACUUGAGCAUGUCUAUGAGUAAUGAGUAGCAUGGUGGAUCACUCCUCUUAAGUCCCAUGACCUACUCCAUAAUUGAUACUUGCACCACUUGAGCCAUUUGCACCACUUGAAUACUAUACCUGCUAGCUGCACAAUCUCUUGUCAUUUGUUGCUUGCAAGGAAUUGAUAUGCCAGCUAAGGGAUGAGCACACAUCGAAUCUGCUUGUUGAACCAUUUGUGCUUAAUAUGUUCACACCAUAAUUGCCAAGAAAGGGACCUAAAAUGCAGAUUGUAAAAUAUGCAAUAGACAUAAUAUCAACAGCAACAGAUUACAUUGAAAGCAUAUAGCAGUGACAUUUUAUAGCUAACGAAACCAGUAGGACGCAAAAGGUGAGACAACCAAGUAACAAUCUGUUAGGUAGUCAACUCCCAUUCAUUUACAAACCAGCUAGCUUGAUCGCCUUUAGCUUGAGACAUGAGCCUAAACCUAACAUCUGAACAGAUUUUAUGAGUCACAAUAACAGCAGGGCAGCUAACAUUUUUAAACUUAAAUUCCUCUCCUUCCAAAUCUGGUAGAUAGUGAUUGUGAAAGCUAAUUUAAUGGUAGUUACCCUCUAUGUGAAGGGACUUGGCAUUAGGCCUUCCUCCUCUAUUAGGACUAAUGGUUAGUGGUGUAUCUAUGAACGGGGAGUAUGUAACACACCUCAAGGGAAAGGUGCAAGAGUAAGCUGAGAAAAUUCAAGAGCAAGCUGAAAAAAUUCAGGAGCAAGCAGAAGGAAUUGAAGUGGCAAACAAUAAGAUACACGAGCUAGUAGAGGCAAAAGAGGAACAUGGGGGACUUUGGCUAGUGUUAUGGCGUUUCUUGAACACCAAGGAUUCACUGGUUAACGACUUGCUGGUCAGUACAUCAUGCUUUCCCUAUUUAUACUCAUAAUGAGAAAACUGGGAGUGGGCUGUAUAUUUUUGUUGGCUUGGUUUUCUGCCCUUUUUUUUUUGCCCUUUUUGAGCAUAUGUUUUCUAUUUAUAGAGAUUAUGAAAGUUUUUAUAUGCUCUCAUUUGAUGUUAACUAUUUGUUCCUUCUUGAUUAGUUGAUCUCUAUAUCUUAUAUGGCUGAAACAAGUUACACUAAAAUAGUCUAGUUACACAACGCUGUUUUGAGUCUAAUAGUAAUGGACACCCAAACAGAGGUCUGACGGCUGCACUUGCAGGUUUAACUUCCACGUUCUCUCUCUCUCUCUCUCUCUCUCUCUCUCUCUCUCUCUCUCUCCAAUUGCUUUUGAUUUGUCUUCUCUGUAUACUGGUACCAAAACAACUUUCAUGUCCCGAAAUAGAGGGGUUUCCACCACUUUACAGUGGGGACACAACAUGGACACGCGGGGGACACAACAUAUAUGGGGACAUAGCUCCUUAGGUGUAUAAAACCUUGUAGCUUAACAUAACAGCCCUUUUAUUAUUCUACAUUCUGCUAUUACGUAUAGUAGGACUAUAAGUAUGGGCCUUAAUUUUCCAAACGGGCAUGGGUAAAGCUCCAACAAAUAUUGCCAAUAAUAGCACAACUAUGCUUAGAAUCUCACUAUUCCAUUGGAUCAAUCAAACAUGGCUAUUAGACAUACACUUAACAGAUAAAUAGAUGACCAAGUUAUAUAUGAGUAUGAGGCUUUUUCUCUCUUUAAAAGUUUGGAACUGUGCAUGAAACAUCCCAUGUGGUGAAUUUUUUUGUUUUUAUUGAUUGUGUUGUGGGUGGUUUCGGAGGGAUGUGGGGUGUGGAAUUGGAUGUGAAUGAGUUAGCUUGAGGAUUUUGAAUUUGGCUGGAUAGACUUCUGUGGCAGGGUGAGAGGAGUGUAUUUUUCGGCUGUUCUGGUAUUGGUUCUGUGGCUGCUUUGUGUGAUGUUUGAUUUGUGUUUCUUUGUUUCUCUUGCUGGUUUUAUGUUGUUGGGGGGGCUGCUGCUCUAUUUGCUAUCUUUCGGUUGCUGCAUCUAGUGGUGUGAUUUUGGUUUUUGGCUACUCAUGUCUGCUAUUGCUGCUCUUAAUUUUCUGGAUCGCUUGGCCAAUCUUUGCUGAUGUUUUUUGGGUGAGGUCUGCUCUUAAUUAUUGGUAGUGAAGUCCUAUGGCAUAUCUUGUGGUUAAGGUGGAGUUGGUUCCUGCUUUUGGUUGCUUCUAUUAGGCCUGGUGGUACUGGUGUUGUAUUUUGAGUUAGGUCAUCACUUGUGUCAUUUAUAUAUUAAGUUUCCAUAAUGUUUUGUGUUCUAUUAACAUCAUAACCAAAAUACUUUAUCCUACUUUUUAUAUGUGCAAAUUGCAUAUGCAUAAGGUUGGUAGCAGGGAAGAUGGUAUAUAUACGCUCUUCUAUGAAUAUUUUUUGUUUGGAUAUAUGUUUCCAUGAAGACUCCUCCUUUGGAUGAAGGUCCAAGUCUUUUUUUUUUUGGAUAUAUGCUUCUAUGAAAACUCCUUUUUUGGAUGAAGUUUCGAGUCUUCUUUUCUGGAUACAUGCUUCUAUGAAGACUCUUUUUUUUGUUGAAGUUCCGAGUCUUCUUUUUUCAUUUUAAUGAUGCUACCGAACUAUGAUGAACAUAUAUGGUAUAUAUUGUCUACCUUUCAUGUUUUUGUCAUGGGAACAUUGAUGCUUUAGAUCCUAUGGUUGAAUGGACACAUUUGGUGUAGAAUACAUAGUUUUUGUGGUUAAUGGAUGUCUAGUUUGGUU
Molecule: long non-coding RNA, 4015 nt
Organism: Rhododendron vialii
Lineage: Eukaryota; Viridiplantae; Streptophyta; Magnoliopsida; Ericales; Ericaceae
Exons: 6
Source: RefSeq, a predicted model, not a curated record